GCAGAAACCCCAAGACUCUUUGGUGUCUCGCUCCAGCGGAAAUGAACUGUACGGCAGAGGGGGCACAAGUCUCCUAGGAAGCCUCAUUCCAGGAGCUGUGCAGGCACAAUCGGUGCAGCCGCUUUUGUUUCCGAUGACUAACAAGGCUGGGCCAUCUUGUCUCCUUUUGUGCCAGAAUCCGAGGUGCCUGAUUGAAAUGAAUGCCAUUCAGAGACUUUCUGCUUCCUACCUAAGCAAAGCCAAGUUGCGGCAGAGAUUUCUAAGCAAUAGCCGACCUGUUGUUCCCCUUGGGUCCCGGAUUCUAACGGAUCCAACUAAAGUUUUUGAACAUAACAUGUGGGACCACGUGCAGUGGUCUCAAGAAGAAGAAGCAGCGGCCAGAGAAAGAGCAACUGAAAACUCAGCUGUGAGAAUUCAGUGGGAAGAUCAAGUCAAAUAUGAGAAUGAAGCCAGUAAAUAUUGGAAUGAGUUUUACAAGACUCAUAAAAAUAAGUUUUUCAAGGAUCGUAAUUGGCUAGUUCGGGAGUUUCCGGAAAUUAUUCCAACUGAGCACCAAAUUGAAAAGAAGGAGGAAGAAAUUCCUUGGGAUCAUAUAAAAAACAAUGGUGCAGACUAUUUCUUGAAAGUGCCGUCCCCAGCUAUACCUAUAGAAGAGAGAAAUUCUUGCAAGAUUGUGUCUGGUGAUGGUGUUGUUCACAGCCGUAGCAAAGCGGGAUCUGUUGGUGCCUUCCAGAAUGCUGAAGAGAAUAGAAAAGAGAAUGUGAAGACUGGGUUAUUCCCUGGUAGCAGUGCCACUUUCAGAAUAUUGGAGGUGGGCUGUGGGGCUGGAAAUAGUGUUUUUCCAAUUCUCAAUAUUCUAAACAAAACCCCAGGGACCUUUCUUUACUGUUGUGACUUUGCUUCUGGAGCAGUGGAGCUGAUAAAGUCACACUCGUCCUACAGUCCAGCCCAGUGUUCUGCCUUUGUUCACGAUGUAUGUGAUGAUGGUUUACCCUAUCCUUUUCCAGAUGGGAUCCUGGAUGUCAUUCUCCUAGUCUUUGUGCUCUCUUCUAUUCAUCCUGACAGGGUGCUGUUUGUCUGAAAACUUUUAUGUGCGAGGGAAUGGUACCAGAGCAUAUUUCUUUUCGAAAGGGGAAGUCCAUAGUAUGUUCUCGCUGGCUGGGUUAGACGAAGUACAAAAUCUAGUUGAUCGACGUUUGCAAGUCAACAGGAAACGACAAGUGAAAAUGCAUCGUGUUUGGGUACAAAGCAAGUUCCAGAAACCAUUGCAGUUGUUUCCAGACAGGCCCGAGAAUGCCAUUCCUGAACUUUCUGCUGCCUGAAUUAUGUACUGUGUCUCCAAACAAAGCAAGUUCAAUUCUGUACACCUUAAUAAUGUAUACAUUAAAAACUAGGACUCUUCCACUCAUUAAUGUUCUGUAGGCACUUUCCAAACCUGCCACAGGGCUGCUCAGACUUAGGACGGUGUGAAUGUUUGCUUAUGGAGGAGGUAGAGGAAGAUUAGAAGGAGAGGGAGAAGCCAUCUGCUCUUUGUCACCCAGGACUUUGGCAUUGGUUUUCAUCUUCUCUAGGUAAGGACCCAAAACACGGCACAGUGGUCUCCGGACAGCCGUUGUUAGUAACUUCAAGGACCGUGUGAGCGAGCCCCAGAGAGCAGCCAGCCCAGAAUCGUGGGGAGGCGGGUCUGGUGCUAUAGGAAACACAAAAGAGGAAGGGGUAGGAUCACCUGGAAGUUUUAUAGCCCAAAAGUUUUCCAGAGACAGUGCUGAAAGAUGUGAAAUUACUUUCUGUCAGGAACC
Tachyglossus aculeatus (Australian echidna) is the source of this 1799-nucleotide RNA transcript. It is a transcript of the gene named methyltransferase like 8, with no coding region annotated. The record is from RefSeq and is a predicted model, not a curated record. The transcript has 9 exons. Lineage: Eukaryota; Metazoa; Chordata; Mammalia; Monotremata; Tachyglossidae.